Molecule: ribosomal RNA, 440 nt
Filed under: uncultured bacterium
Lineage: Bacteria
Description: bacterial SSU rRNA
Rfam family: Bacterial small subunit ribosomal RNA
Source: RNAcentral
AACGCGAAGAACCUUACCUACCCUUGACAUCCCGCGAAUCUGGCAGAGAUGCUGGAGUGCCGAAAGGAACGCGGAGACAGGUGCUGCAUGGCUGUCGUCAGCUCGUGUUGUGAGAUGUUGGGUUAAGUCCCGUAACGAGCGCAACCCUUAUCUUUAGUUGCCAACGCGUCAUGGCGGGGACUCUAAAGAGACUGCUGGUGAUGAACCGGAGGAAGGCGGGGACGACGUCAAGUCAUCAUGGCCUUUAUGGGUAGGGCUACACACGUGCUACAAUGGACGGUACAGAGGGAGGCGAAGCCGCGAGGUGGAGCGAAUCCCAGAAAGCCGUUCGUAGUCCGGAUUGAAGUCUGCAACUCGACUUCAUGAAGUCGGAAUCGCUAGUAAUCGCGAAUCAGAAUGUCGCGGUGAAUACGUUCCCGGGCCUUGUACACACCGCUGUA